RNAcentral lists this ribosomal RNA (497 nucleotides) under uncultured bacterium. RNAcentral describes it as "partial 16S ribosomal RNA". It matches the Rfam family "Bacterial small subunit ribosomal RNA", at positions 28 to 507 of the family's 1533-position model. The record is from RNAcentral.
GAUGAACGCUGGCGGCGUGCCUAAUACAUGCAAGUCGAGCGAACAGACGAGGAGCUCGCUCCUCUGACGUUAGCGGCGGACGGGUGAGUAACACGUGGAUAACCUACCUAUAAGACUGGGAUAACUUCGGGAAACCGGAGCUAAUACCGGAGAAUAUAUUGAACCGCAGGGAUCAAGAGAGAAAGAAGGUUUUGCUGACACUAAGAGAUGGAUCCGUGUCGCAUUAGCUAGUUGGUAAGGUAACGGCCUACCAAGGCAACGAUGCGUAGCCGACCUGAGAGGAUGAUCAGCCACACUGGAACUGAGACACGGUCCAGACUCCUACGGGAGGCAGCAGUGGGGAAUCCUCCACAAUGGGCGCAAGCCUGACCCAGCCAUGCCGCGUGAGUGAUGAAGGCCUUCGGGUCGUAAAGCUCUUUUAUUGGGAAAGAACAGCAGCGUGUUAAUCCCUCCAUGUUCUGACGGUACCCAAUCAAUAAGCCCCGGCUAACUUCGUG